GCGGUUUAAUUGGACUCAACGCCGGACAACUCACCGGGGGCGACGGUUACAUGAAGGCCGGGCUGAAGACUCUGCCUGAUUUUCCGAGAGGUGGUGCAUGGCCGCCGUCAGUUCGUACCGUAAGGCGUUCUGUUAAGUCAGAUAACGAACGAGACCCUCACCCCUAAUUGCCAAGGCAUCCUCCGGGAUGCAAGCACAUUAGGGGGACCGCUAGUGCUAAACUAGAGGAAGGGGAGGUCAACGGUAGGUCAGUAUGCCCCCAAUCCCCCGGGCUACACGCGCGCUACAAAGGGCAGGACAAAGGGAUCCGACCCCGAGAGGGGAAGGAAAUCCUCAAACCUGUUCGUAGUUCGGAUUGAGAGCUGUAACUCGCUCUCAUGAAGGUGGAUUCCGUAGUAAUCGCGGGUCAACAUCCCGCGGUGAAUGCGCCCCUGCUCCUUGCACACACCGCCCGUC
Molecule: ribosomal RNA, 456 nt
Filed under: uncultured euryarchaeote
Lineage: Archaea; Methanobacteriati; Methanobacteriota
Description: bacterial SSU rRNA
Rfam family: Archaeal small subunit ribosomal RNA
Source: RNAcentral